UACGUAGGUGGCAAGCGUUGUCCGGAUUUAUUGGGUUUAAAGGGUGCGUAGGCGGCUUAAUAAGUCAGUGGUGAAAGCCGAUCGCUUAACGAUCGAACUGCCAUUGAUACUGCUAGGCUUGAGUAUAGUUGAGGUAGGCGGAAUUGACAGUGUAGCGGUGAAAUGCAUAGAUAUUGUCAAGAACACCAAUUGCGAAGGCAGCUUACUAAAGUAUAACUGACGCUGAGGCACGAAAGUGCGGGGAUCAAACAGG
RNAcentral lists this ribosomal RNA (253 nucleotides) under uncultured bacterium. RNAcentral's name for it is "partial 16S ribosomal RNA". It matches the Rfam family "Bacterial small subunit ribosomal RNA", at positions 524 to 776 of the family's 1533-position model. RNAcentral also lists the same sequence under 2 other names. The record is from RNAcentral.